AUAACAUGUUUUGCAGAUGGAUUC
RNAcentral lists this non-coding RNA (24 nucleotides) under Arabidopsis thaliana (thale cress). Lineage: Eukaryota; Viridiplantae; Streptophyta; Magnoliopsida; Brassicales; Brassicaceae. The record is from RNAcentral.